Long non-coding RNA from Macaca fascicularis (crab-eating macaque), 1823 nucleotides. The record is from Ensembl. Lineage: Eukaryota; Metazoa; Chordata; Mammalia; Primates; Cercopithecidae.
CUGCAACCUCCACCUCCCCAGUUCAAGUGAUUCUCCUCAGUAGCUGGGAUUACAGGCAUGCACCACCACGCAUGGUUAAUUUUUUUGUAUUUUUAGUAGAGAUGGGGUUUCACCAUGUUGGCCAGGCUGGUCUCAAACUCUGACCUCAAGUGAUCUGCCUGCCUCAGCCUCCCAAAAGUUCUGGGAUUACAGGUGUGAGCCACCAAGCCUGGCGUAUUAUUAUUGUUUUUUGAGAUAGGGUCUCGCUGCAUCACCCAGGCUGCAGUGCAGUGACAGCGCCAUCUGAGAUCACUGUGACCUCUACCUCCCGGGCUCAAACAAUCCUCCUGCCUCAGUUUCCCAAGUAGCUGGGACUACAGGCAUGUGCCACCACCCCGGCUAAUGCAGUCUCACCAUGUUGCCCAGGCUGGUAUCCAACUCCUAGGCUCAAGUGAUCUGCCUACCUUGGCUUCCCAAAGUGCUGGGAUUACAGGCACAAGCUACCGCAUCCAGCCACUCUACAGACUCCUGGCUGCCCUUCUGCCUUAGUUGCCUCCAGCUCCCAGCCACUCCCCGCCUUGGUGUCUGACCUGGGCACAGCUCUGACUCCACUCACCAGAUACCCCUCCUUCUCCUCCUCCUCCCCCAUGGCAAUGAUGGUUCUCAGGCAGGGUGGGCGGGCAGCCAGGACGAGGGCGUGGGUUUGUGUGCAUGUGGUGGUUGGGGGAGUGUCUGGUUGUGCGUGUCGUGGGCUCUGCCAGUGUUUGCCUGGGAAUCUGCUGGGGAACUUCCAGGUGCAGUAUUUGUUGAUCUGCUCCCUCCCCUGGUUUUUCUCCACCCCCCAGGUACUGGUUAAUUCCCAACUUUCCAGGGCAGUCACUUCACCUCUGUUGCCUCAGUUCCCUGAUCUGUCAGUAGAGAUACAAUUACCAGUUCCCACCUCUGCUGGGUUGUGAGGUUCAAAGAGUCCAAGACUCAAUAAAUGUAACCAUCAUCUCCUGCUUGCUUCUGUGUGAGACUGUUUCUUCCCAGGGGCGAUUUUUUUUUGUUUGUUUGUUUGUUUGUUUUUGAGAUGGAGUCUUGCUCUGUUGCCCAGACUGGAGUACAGUAUCACGAUCUCAGCUCACUGCAACCUCUGCCUCCCGGGUUCAAGCAAUUCUCCUGCCUCAGCCUCCCAAGUAGCUGGGACUACAGGCGCCUGCCACUGCACCUGGCUAAUUUUUUUUUUUUUUUUUUUUUUUUUAGUAGAGACGGGGUUUCACCAUGUUGGCCAGGCUGCUGGUUUCAAACUCGUGGGCUCAAGUGAUCCUCCCGCCUCGGCCUCCCAAACUGUUAGAUUACAGAUGUGAGCUACCUCACCCAGCCCUUGGGGACAAUUUGAAUCUGUGUCUCUGUGUAUGUUCUCUAAGCUUCUGUAUGCCAGUCUGUCUAACUCGUUGUAUACCAGCUGUGCAACCUUGGGUGAGUUACUAGACCUCUCUGUGCCUUGUUUCUUCAUCACAAAAUGGGCAUGACUUCCUAGUCAUGUCUGCUUCCUAGGGUGGAUGUGGAGACUGAAUUAAUUGCCUAAUUAAUUACCUAAGUCCAUUGCACAUAAUGGACUUAGUGCAAUGCCUGGCAUGCGGGCAGCCUCAAUUACAUGAUCAUCAUCACUGGGGCAUGACUUAUGUCUCCCACCCCCCAAGUGUCUGUGAGUGUCUGAGCACGUGGGGCAGGAAGUGCCUGUGGAAGCAUGUGGAGUUAUCUGGGACUCUAUGGCACCCGGCCUGGGAAGGCGGCCUCUGUUUCCUCAUCUGUAAAAUGGGAAUAAUGAUAGCAUCCCUCACAAGGUUGUUGUAGUGGAA